RNAcentral lists this non-coding RNA (29 nucleotides) under Rattus norvegicus (Norway rat). The record is from RNAcentral. Lineage: Eukaryota; Metazoa; Chordata; Mammalia; Rodentia; Muridae.
UGGACAAUGUCACGUGUAGGUAGUACUGU